AAAUGCGUUGAUAUCUAUCGGAACGCCGAAGGAGAAAUCAGGCAGCUGGGCCUGUCCUGACGCUGAGGUACGAAAGCGUGGGUAGCGAACGGGAUUAGAUACCCCGGUAGUCCACGCCGUAAACGAUGUGCACUAGAUCGAGGGGCUUCUGACACCGCUCUUGGUCGAAGCGAAAGUCUUAAGUGCACCGCCUGGGGAGUACGGUCGCAAGGCUAAAACUCAAAGGAAUUGACGGGGGCUCACACAAGCGGUGGAGCAUGUGGCUUAAUUCGAAGCAACGCGAAGAACCUUAUCCUGGGUUUGACAUGCACGGAUUAGCCCGGUGAAAGUCGGGUGACGCUCUUUGAGUGGAACGUGCACAGGUGCUGCAUGGCUGUCGUCAGCUCGUGCUGUGAAGUGUCGGGUUAAGUCCCUUAACGAGCGCAACCCCUGUCGCUAGUUGCCAGCGCGUUAUGGCGGGGACUCUAGCGAGACUGCCGGUCUCAAACCGGAGGAAGGUGGGGAUGACGUCAAGUCCGUAUGGCCUUUAUGCCCAGGGCUGCACACGUGCUACAAUGGCCGGUACAGAACGACGCAAUACCGCAAGGUGGAGCAAAUCGCAAAAGCCGGCCCCAGUUCGGAUUGCAGGCUGCAACUCGCCUGCAUGAAGUUGGAAUCGCUAGUAAUCGCGGAUCCGCAAUGCCGCGGUGAUACGUUCCUGAGCAUUGUACACACCGCCCGUCAAGUCAUGGAAGCUGGCAGCGCCAGAAGUCGCCGCGACUCAGCGGUGCCCACG
RNAcentral lists this ribosomal RNA (775 nucleotides) under uncultured organism. RNAcentral's name for it is "bacterial SSU rRNA". It matches the Rfam family "Bacterial small subunit ribosomal RNA", at positions 684 to 1461 of the family's 1533-position model. The record is from RNAcentral.